UACGUAGGGGGCAAGCGUUGUCCGGAUUUAUUGGGCGUAAAGCGCGUGUAGGCGGCCUGGAAGGUCAGCUGUGAAAACUCGAGGCUCAACCUCGAGACGUCGGUUGAAACCACCUGGCUAGAGUCCGGAAGAGGAGUGUGGAAUUCCCGGUGUAGCGGUGGAAUGCGCAGAUAUCCGAUAGAAGACCGGUGGCGAAGGCGGCCUGCUGGGCAGUAACUGACACUGAGGCGCGACAGCGUGGGGAGCAAACAGG
Molecule: ribosomal RNA, 253 nt
Filed under: uncultured bacterium
Lineage: Bacteria
Description: partial 16S ribosomal RNA
Rfam family: Bacterial small subunit ribosomal RNA
Source: RNAcentral